CCUACGGGGGGCUGCAGUGGGGAAUAUUGGACAAUGGGGGCAACCCUGAUCCAGCCAUGCCGCGUGUGUGAAGAAGGCCCUCGGGUUGUAAAGCACUUUCAGUGAGGAAGAACGCCUGGUGGUUAAUACCCAUCAGGAAAGACAUCACUCACAGAAGAAGCACCGGCUAACUCCGUGCCAGCAGCCGCGGUAAUACGGAGGGUGCGAGCGUUAAUCGGAAUUACUGGGCGUAAAGCGCGCGUAGGUGGCUUGAUAAGCCGGUUGUGAAAGCCCCGGGCUCAACCUGGGAACGGCAUCCGGAACUGUCAAGCUAGAGUGCAGGAGAGGAAGGUAGAAUUCCCGGUGUAGCGGUGAAAUGCGUAGAGGUCGGGAGGAAUACCAGUGGCGAAGGCGGCCUUCUGGACUGACACUGACACUGAGGUGCGAAAGCGUGGGUAGCAAACAGGAUUAGAUACCCCAGUAGUC
Molecule: ribosomal RNA, 465 nt
Filed under: Vreelandella stevensii
Lineage: Bacteria; Pseudomonadati; Pseudomonadota; Gammaproteobacteria; Oceanospirillales; Halomonadaceae
Description: partial 16S ribosomal RNA
Rfam family: Bacterial small subunit ribosomal RNA
Source: RNAcentral